UACGUAGGGGGCUAGCGUUGUCCGGAUUUAUUGGGCGUAAAGAGCGUGUAGGCGGCUUGGUAGGUCCGCUGUGAAAUCUCGAGGCUCAACCUCGAGACGCCGGUGGAAACCAUCAGGCUAGAGUCCGGAAGAGGAGAGUGGAAUUCCUGGUGUAGCGGUGAAAUGCGCAGAUAUCAGGAAGAACACCCGUGGCUAAGGCGGCUCUCUAGUACGGUACUGACGCUGAGACGCGAAAGCGUGGGGAGCGAACAGG
This 253-nucleotide ribosomal RNA is filed under the name uncultured bacterium. Its description in RNAcentral is "partial 16S ribosomal RNA". It matches the Rfam family "Bacterial small subunit ribosomal RNA", at positions 524 to 776 of the family's 1533-position model. The record is from RNAcentral.